AGAGUUUGAUCCUGGCUCAGAAUCAACGCUGGCGGCGGGCCUAACACAUGCAAGUCGAGCGACCCGCAGGGGGAGCGGUGACGGGUGAGCGACCGGGUGAACAUACCCUCCGGUUCGGAAUAUCUCAUGGAAGAUUGGAUUAAUACCGGAGACGGACUACCGGAUAAAGAUUUUUCGCCGGAGGAUUGGCACACGUCUGAUUAACUUCUUGGGGUGAGGAUGGCGCGCCUGAGUAACUAUCUGGAGCUGGACUGACACGAUGAUCAUUCAAUUUGGAACUGACAUGCGAGCCAAACUCCUACCGCUGGAACUGAUGCGGAAUAUUGAACCCUGCGGGAAGGCCUGAUGCAGACUUGUCCCGAGAGUGAUAACCCCCUUAGCAUUGUAAACCUCUGUCGCAUGAAACCACUUGGACCGUACCUGCCUUACAACCCCCAGCAAACUUACUACCCGGAUGCAAGAAAAUACGAAUGACUUUAGGCCUGUUCCCAAUUACUGGGCGUAAAGGCCGUGUUUGUUCGUCAUUAUUGCACGUAUGAAAUGCCUAGGCUCAGCCUUGAAACUGCCUUUGAUACUGUAGAUUUUGAGUCCGCCUGCAUGAGUGGAACUGCGCUUGUAGAGGGAAAAUGUGCGAUAUAUUCCCGAUGUACCGUGGAAAUGCGCGGCUCACUGGGACGAAACUGACGCUGAAACGCGAAAGCGUGGACCAGCAUCUGACGAUUAAAUACCCUGAGCUACCGGCAGCUGUAAACGAUGAGAUGCUCUCCGUAGGCGAGCUUGCUCCUGAUGUGUGCUUGCUAACGCUUUAAGCAUCCCCCCGUGUGUGACUACAGCUAACACGAUUAAAAUCCCACCUAGUUGACUACGGUCCCGCAGAAUGCAGACUCAGCAUGAUGUUUUCAGUUCGCAAGCAACACGCGGUGCGUUAUCUGCUUCUUGUCAUGUCCUGGACGAAUAGCUUAACAUGCGAUCUUAUCUUCGGAGACCGGACAAAGAUGUGCAUUUCUGACGAACGCUUGUUGCAGUGCAUGCAUGGCUUAGUCCGCUACGAACGGAAACGUUCGCUAGUUCCCUACAUACGUAGCCCUAUCCAGUGGUCGACGGGUAUAAGCCGGAAAUGUGGAAUAGACCGAAUACCUGACAUACGCAUGACUCAAGGUCUAGAGCGUUAUGUAACAGAGUUAUGCA
This 1188-nucleotide ribosomal RNA is filed under the name uncultured bacterium. RNAcentral describes it as "bacterial SSU rRNA". The stretch from base 2 to 819 matches the Rfam family "Bacterial small subunit ribosomal RNA", at positions 9 to 873 of the family's 1533-position model. The record is from RNAcentral.